CCUACGGGAGGCAGCAGUGGGGAAUAUUGCACAAUGGGGGAAACCCUGAUGCAGCGACGCCGCGUGAGUGAAGAAGUAUCUCGGUAUGUAAAGCUCUAUCAGCAGGGAAGAAAAUGACGGUACCUGACUAAGAAGCCCCGGCUAACUACGUGCCAGCAGCCGCGGUAAUACGUAGGGGGCAAGCGUUAUCCGGAUUUACUGGGUGUAAAGGGAGCGUAGACGGCGGUACAAGUCUGGAGUGAAAGCCCGGGGCUUAACCCCGGAACUGCUCUGGAAACUGUGGAGCUGGAGUGCGGGAGGGGUAGGCGGAAUUCCUAGUGUAGCGGUGAAAUGCGUAGAUAUUAGGAGGAACACCAGUGGCGAAGGCGGCUUGCUGGACUGUAACUGACGUUGAGGCUCGAAAGCGUGGGGAGCAAACAGGAUUAGAUACCCGUGUAGUC
RNAcentral lists this ribosomal RNA (440 nucleotides) under uncultured bacterium. RNAcentral describes it as "partial 16S ribosomal RNA". It matches the Rfam family "Bacterial small subunit ribosomal RNA", at positions 338 to 795 of the family's 1533-position model. The record is from RNAcentral.